GUGUCAGCCGCCGCGGUAAUACAGAGGUCCCAAGCGUUGUUCGGAUUCACUGGGCGUAAAGGGUGCGUAGGUGGUGAGGAUAGUUUGGUGUGAAAUCUCCGGGCUUAACCCGGAAACUGCACUAAAUACUUCCUUGCUCGAGGACUGGAGGGGAGACUGGAAUUCUCGGCGUAGCGGUGAAAUGCGUAGAUAUCGAGAGGAACACCGGUGGCGAAGGCGAGUCUCUGGACAGUCCCUGACACUGAGGCACGAAAGCUAGGGGAGCAAACAGGAUUAGAUACCCUGGUAGUCCUAGCUGUAAACGGUGCACAUUUGCCGUGAGCGGAAUCGACCCCGUUCGUGGCGAAGCUAACGCGUUAAAUGUGCCGCCUGGGGAGUACGGUCGCAAGAUUAAA
Molecule: ribosomal RNA, 395 nt
Filed under: uncultured bacterium
Lineage: Bacteria
Description: bacterial SSU rRNA
Rfam family: Bacterial small subunit ribosomal RNA
Source: RNAcentral